This 65-nucleotide microRNA precursor is filed under the name Bombyx mori (domestic silkworm). RNAcentral describes it as "mir-2774 microRNA precursor family". It matches the Rfam family "mir-2774 microRNA precursor family". The record is from Rfam by way of RNAcentral. Lineage: Eukaryota; Metazoa; Arthropoda; Insecta; Lepidoptera; Bombycidae.
ACAAGAUUGGAUCGCCAGUCUACCGAGCAAUAUCACUCGCUCGGUGGAAGAUCUUCCCUAGGCGU